UUUUUUUUUUUUGACCACAGCAUAUUGUUUUUAAAAACCAAUUGCCCGCCCUUCCCACAAACUCCUCUUCUCUUGCCCCGCCACUGGCACACUCUGGAGGUGGUUGGGCAUCUCCUCACAAGAUGGCGUCAUGAAAAUCCGGGGCUUGCUCAGUAAAUUGCCUGGGUUUUGCUGCCAUCUAGUGGCUAAAGGGGAUGUUCUCGGCUCCGACAAGAAUUCCAUUUCAUUCAAUAAUCUUUAAAAACCCUACCUUGUACAAAGCUCGCUGGAAGGGCCAAGUGGGCCACGAAAUGCCAGUUGAGGAAGCUCCUGAAGAGCUCCUCGUGUUAAGAAGUCGCGGCGAGCUCUGCCACGAGUUUGGUGCCUUUGGGGGAGUCCCGUCAUUCUCUCAGCUUCCGAUUCUGCGCUGUUUUCACGGGUCUCUUUCCCUGAUCCCGGGAUGAGAUAGACACUGGGUGUAAUCCGUGAAAAAAGCAUAUUGUAUAGGACAGAAUAAAAUAAUAAUCGCUCAUGGCAGGCAGGCCCUCACACCAACCCCGGGAAGCAGGUGCUAAUAUUAUCCGGAUCGCACAGAAGCGGAAGUUGAGGUAGAGCCGGGGUCACAGGCCGACGCUCCGUGAAGGAAGCACCCGGAGGUCUAGAUUUUGAGCCGCUCCGCCUCCACAAGCUGCACUCUGCCUUAGAAAGCCACGAGCACGUUUUGUUGGAUUGAUUGGGUGUCUAACCAUUUCCCAAUGACAGCCGAAUACAGUCCAGUCAUCUUGCAGGAGUGACCACCGGGGCCUCUAAUCCGGCGUCCCUUGAAUUCUUUCUCUGCUAUUUUAUCUAGACUGGGCCCAGCUCGGAGCCCCCAGGCCCAACAUUCUCCAGCAUCCUCAGCCAGACUGGGAGAAGGGGGAGGGGGGAGGAGGAAGCGGGAAGGCCUUGCCGCCCAAUGGCCCGCCUCUUUACUUCCUCUUGAAGGGCUUCCCCUCACUGAAGUCUCCCUUCCGCAUGAAAAAAACGCCCGACAUCUCCUGCGUGGCUCUUCUCCUCACCCGUGACGCUCCCUAGAGCUCCUCUUGGAGUCCCUCUCAGCGGGGUCCGCCCCCCUGCCCAUCCCAAGGCCUGCAGCUUGGGAGGCUCCCAAUAGUGACCCCGGUCUGCCUUUGCUUUUCCGCACAGCACAGGGGCCCUUUUCAGGACGGCCUCUCCAAGCAAACCUGGAAGGAUUGGAGUAUUCUGGCCAGGGGUGUGCUUCCCGGGGCCAGAGGACCAAAUCUAGGCCAAGGAUUCUGGUUCUUGGCUCCGUACAGCUCCUGCCCUUUAAAAGCUGGGGAGCCCUAAAGGCUUCCGGGUCAAGCUUCCAGGUGUCCCGCCCCCACUUCCUUUCCAGGUCUCCGGGCGAUUGCGCGGGCCCUUGGCUCCCCUGGGCGUCGGGAGGGUUAGAGCUAAAGCCUUGCCCCAGUCCCCAAGAUGGUCCAAAUGCAGGGCGUUGCCACUCUCCGAGCUCCUUGGUGACAUGUCGCUGCCUCACUAACCUAACCGGACAUUUUGUAAAACAAGUUGAAGACAACCUCCUCCUAUUGAAAGUUAUGAAGUGACAAAAACUGGUCCCCAAAUGAUUGGAAACACACUGAAGAAGAAACAUCUUUGUAUAUGGACGAGAAGCACGUGGACAUCCAGCACUGACCAAACAGCCGUGCUGCUCUACCCGCCACCUGGAGGAAGUAGUGUAUGUUCCGGGGCUGGCAGACAAGAAAAGGACCAAGGAAUCUUCACCACCACCGCCCUCCCCUCCCAAGAAGACGAUAAAAGAAUUCAGUGUUAAGACAUCCAAAUGCUUGUUCAACACCAAAAUGUAUUUGAAUCAAACUGUUCAACGUAAAAAUGGAUUUAUCACAAGGUUAGCAUUAAGAUUUAACUCACAGAAUGAAAAGUUAUCCCCUUAACAAAAUUCUUAAAUUUCAGCUUUUGAAAUAAAUAUACUCUAACAGAAAAAAAAAUAAAAAUCAAUUCAGAAUCAAUUCAGAAUUAGAGUGCUUUAUUUCUUUAAUUUCCCACAAAAUAAACUGAAACUAUCAUUUACAUCAGUUGAAAUGGCAAAAAAAAAAUUAGAAAUCAAUCUGCUAUAACUCUCUUGUAAACACUUUAUGAGCACAAAAUAAGGAUUAAAAGAAACAAAAUGGAAAAACGAAAUACCUCUUAAAUUGAGGAUAAUCUGACUGUCAUAUUAGCCACCUGCAGAUGUCUGAACAGCAGAUGUAUUUAAAGUAGUGCAAGAUUUAACGAAUUUAGGACAAUACUCAAAUCAGCCCUAACCCAGUUUUCAAUUACUUGCUCAAGUUCAUAUAUAAGAAUCAAUUUAAAAAGCAAAUCUCUCCUAAAACUUAACCAGCAGAUAGAUGUCAACUCCAUACCCAACACAACACUAACUAUGGAGAUCUUGAAUAUGAGUUUCCCACCCCCACCCCCAAAAAACACACACACCAAAAAGCGAAAGCCCAGCACCCCAAGUGCAUCCACUUCCAUGUAACUGCCGUUCCUCCCAUGUACUGCCACUUGUGUAAAAAAGGUUUCCUUUAAUAUUUAUAGAUCUAGGAGUGAACAUAUUGCUUCAGAUCCUCUUUCUGAAUUUAAAAUAUACAUACGUAAUCUUCCUUUGUCUCUGAUAAGUACAAAUAUUAGUUGAUAAUGG
Monodelphis domestica (gray short-tailed opossum) is the source of this 2677-nucleotide non-coding RNA. Lineage: Eukaryota; Metazoa; Chordata; Mammalia; Didelphimorphia; Didelphidae. The record is from RefSeq and is a predicted model, not a curated record.